RNAcentral lists this ribosomal RNA (254 nucleotides) under uncultured bacterium. RNAcentral's name for it is "partial 16S ribosomal RNA". It matches the Rfam family "Bacterial small subunit ribosomal RNA", at positions 524 to 776 of the family's 1533-position model. The record is from RNAcentral.
UACGAAGGGGGCUAGCGUUGCUCGGAAUGACUGGGCGUAAAGGGCGCGUAGGCGGAGUGCUAUGUCGGGCGUGAAAUUCCAGGGCUCAACCUUGGGGCUGCGUUCGAGACGGGCAUUCUAGAGUGUGGAAGAGGGUCGUGGAAUUCCCAGUGUAGAGGUGAAAUUCGUAGAUAUUGGGAAGAACACCGGUGGCGAAGGCGGCGACCUGGUCCAUUUACUGACGCUGAGGCGCGAAAGCGUGGGGAGCAAACAGG